AAACUCAAAUGAAUUGACGGGGGCCCGCACAAGCGUGGAGCAUGUGGUUUAAUUCGACGAUACGCGAAGAACCUUACCUGGCCUUGACAUACUAAAAAGCUUUAAGAGAUUAGAGUGUGCUAGCUUGCUAGAAUUUAGAUACAGGUGCUGCACGGCUGUCGUCAGCUCGUGUCGUGAGAUGUUGGGUUAAGUCCCGCAACGAGCGCAACCCUCGUGUUUAGUUGCUAACAGUUCGGCUGAGAACUCUAAACAGACUGCCUACGCAAGUAGGAGGAAGGUGAGGACGACGUCAAGUCAUCAUGGCCCUUACGGCCAGGGCUACACACGUGCUACAAUGGGGUAUACAAAGAGCAGCGAUACGGUGACGUGGAGCAAAUCUAGAAAAUGCCUCUCAGUUCGGAUUGUAGUCUGCAACUCGACUACAUGAAGUUGGAAUCGCUAGUAAUCGUAGAUCAGCAAUGCUACGGUGAAUACGUUCCCGGGUCUU
RNAcentral lists this ribosomal RNA (487 nucleotides) under uncultured Arcobacter sp. RNAcentral's name for it is "bacterial SSU rRNA". It matches the Rfam family "Bacterial small subunit ribosomal RNA", at positions 897 to 1382 of the family's 1533-position model. The record is from RNAcentral. Lineage: Bacteria; Pseudomonadati; Campylobacterota; Epsilonproteobacteria; Campylobacterales; Arcobacteraceae.